ACAAUGUUCAAUCCCAACUUUUCUGAGUCCUAGUACGCAAGGAAUGGUCUCAGCGAUGCUCGACUAUAUUGGCCCCAUCGACGUAAUCAACUUCUGGCUGCUGCAAAGAAGGAUAACAAAAGGUUUCGGGAUUAAUAAGGUGCCAUGUGGGUGCAUAGCCCCCUGGUCCCCU
This 172-nucleotide ribosomal RNA is filed under the name Calyptrophora clinata. Its description in RNAcentral is "partial 16S ribosomal RNA". Lineage: Eukaryota; Metazoa; Cnidaria; Anthozoa; Scleralcyonacea; Primnoidae. The record is from RNAcentral.